UCGCCCUUAGAGUUUGAUCCUGGCUCAGGAUGAACGCUGACAGAAUGCUUAACACAUGCAAGUCGAUUCGAUUUACCUUCGGGUAUUGAGGAUGGCGGACGGGUGAGUAACGCGUAAGGAACUUGCCUCUUGGACUGGGACAACUGUUGGAAACGACAGCUAAUACCGGAUAUUAUGAGAUUCUCGCAUGAGAAACUUAUGAAAGCUAUAUGCGCCAAGAGAGAGCCUUGCGUUCCAUUAGCUAGUUGGUGGGGUAAUGGCCCACCAAGGCGACGAUGGAUAGCCGGCCUGAGAGGGUGAACGGCCACAAGGGGACUGAGACACGGCCCUUACUCCUACGGGAGGCAGCAGUGGGGAAUAUUGGACAAUGGGCCACAAGCCUGAUCCAGCAAUUCUGUGUGCACGAUGAAGGUCUUCGGAUUGUAAAGUGCUUUCAGUUGGGAAGAAGAAAGUGACGGUACCAACAGAAGAAGCGACGGCUAAAUACGUGCCAGCAGCCGCGGUAAUACGUAUGUCGCAAGCGUUAUCCGGAUUUAUUGGGCGUAAAGCGCGUCUAGGCGGAAAAAUAAGUCUGAUGUUAAAAUGCGGGGCUCAACUCCGUAUUGCGUUGGAAACUGUUUUUCUAGAGUACUGGAGAGGUGGGCGGAACUACAAGUGUAGAGGUGAAAUUCGUAGAUAUUUGUAGGAAUGCCGAUGGAGAAGUCAGCUCACUGGACAGAUACUGACGCUGAAGCGCGAAAGCGUGGGGAGCAAACAGGAUUAGAUACCCUGGUAGUCCACGCCGU
RNAcentral lists this ribosomal RNA (785 nucleotides) under uncultured bacterium. Its description in RNAcentral is "bacterial SSU rRNA". It matches the Rfam family "Bacterial small subunit ribosomal RNA", at positions 1 to 803 of the family's 1533-position model. The record is from RNAcentral.